Long non-coding RNA from Amblyraja radiata (thorny skate), 92 nucleotides. RefSeq lists it as uncharacterized. The transcript has 3 exons. NCBI's taxonomy places the organism in Eukaryota, Metazoa, Chordata, Chondrichthyes, Rajiformes, Rajidae. The record is from RefSeq and is a predicted model, not a curated record.
CUGGAGUAACUCAGUGGGGUCGGCAUCGUGACACAGUAGUAGAGAAGCUGCCUUACAGCGCCAGAGAUCCGGGUUCUAUCCUCACUACAGAU